GAUGAACGCUGGCGGCGUGCCUAAUACAUGCAAGUCGAGCGAACGGACGAGAAGCGUUCUUUUCUGAUGUUAGCGGCGGACGGGUGAGUAAGACGUGGAUAACCAACCAAUAAGACUGGGAUAACUUCGGGAAACCGGAGCUAAUACUGGAUAAUAUUUCGAACCGCAUGGUUCAAAAGUGAAAGACGGUCUUGCUGUCACAUAUAGCUGGAGCCGCGUUGCAUUAGCUAGUUGGUAAGGUAACGGCUUACCAAGGCAACGAUGCAUAGCCGACCUGAGAGGGUGAUCAGCCACACUGGAACUGAGACACGGUCCAGACUCCUACGGGAGGCAGCAGUAGGGAAUCUUCCACAAUGGGCGAAAGCCUGACGGAGCAACGCCGCGUGAGUGAAGAAGGUCUUCGGGUCGUAAAGCUCUGUUGUUAGGAAAGAACAUAUGUGUAAGUAACUGCGCACGUCUUGACGGUACCUAAUCAGAAAGCCACGGCUAACUUCGUG
RNAcentral lists this ribosomal RNA (497 nucleotides) under uncultured bacterium. RNAcentral describes it as "partial 16S ribosomal RNA". It matches the Rfam family "Bacterial small subunit ribosomal RNA", at positions 28 to 507 of the family's 1533-position model. The record is from RNAcentral.